RNAcentral lists this unclassified non-coding RNA (233 nucleotides) under air metagenome. Its description in RNAcentral is "partial contains small subunit ribosomal RNA, internal transcribed spacer 1, and 5.8S ribosomal RNA". The stretch from base 1 to 46 matches the Rfam family "Eukaryotic small subunit ribosomal RNA", at positions 1786 to 1831 of the family's 1831-position model. The record is from RNAcentral.
AAGUCGUAACAAGGUCUCCGUUGGUGAACCAGCGGAGGGAUCAUUAUUAGAGCCUAAAAACUCCCUAAACCAUUGUGAACUUACCUAUCGUUGCUUCGGUGGGCGGCCCCCCCGGGGGCCCUCCAGGCCGCAAGGCGCCCGCCGGAGGUUAUUUACACUCUUGUCUUCUACCGUCACCUCUGAGUAUAAUAAAAAAAUAAUCAAAACUUUCAACAACGGAUCUCUUGGCUCUA